Molecule: ribosomal RNA, 444 nt
Filed under: uncultured bacterium
Lineage: Bacteria
Description: bacterial SSU rRNA
Rfam family: Bacterial small subunit ribosomal RNA
Source: RNAcentral
UGGGGAAUAUUGGUCAAUGGGCGAAAGCCUGAACCAGCAAUGCCGCGUGAGUGAUGAAGGCCUUCGGGUUGUAAAGCUCUGUCAGGGGGAACGAAUAAGCCGGUUAAUACCCGGUGAUGACGGUACCUUCAAAGGAAGCACCGGCUAACUCUGUGCCAGCAGCCGCGGUAAUACAGAGGGUGCAAGCGUUGUUCGGAAUUACUGGGCGUAAAGCGCGUGUAGGCGGUUUAAUAAGUCGGUCGUGAAAGCCCUCGGCUCAACCGAGGAACUGCGUUCGAAACUAUUAGACUAGAGUAUCGGAGGGGGUGGCGGAAUUCCCGGUGUAGAGGUGAAAUUCGUAGAUAUCGGGAGGAACACCUGUGGCGAAGGCGGCCACCUGGAAGAUUACUGACGCUGAGACGCGAAAGCGUGGGGAGCAAACAGGAUUAGAUACCCCCGUAGUCC